GAGAGAAAAUAUGUGGGAGAUCACAAAUCGUACGUUAAAUGGGAAGAAACAGGGAGAGGUUGGGAUGAGGACUGGGAAUAAGAUGAGAGAGUUCGAUUGAGGAAUGGGAGCACACUUGCCCUGUUGAUCUGUCUUCAGUCGAGCAGCAUCACCCCGACUUUACCCCAUAAUGCAUUUUCAGCCCUGUUUCACUGCACUGGAGAUGAACACCCACAUGAUGAAGAGAGAGAGAGAGAGCGAGAGAGAAAAGUGCCAAGGAUGACAGCAAAGGAUAUUACGAUGUUUGCCAUCAUCCUGCACCUAAAUCCAGUGGAUCAGCACACACCUGCCCUUCCAAACCAAGGUUAACAAUGCCUGCUCUCAAAAUGAUGGACCUGGACUUCACUCUCAUCUCUGAGAGUUGCCAACACAUUUGAUGAAACACAUCCCACAAUGGUGUGAGGAUCACAACAAGCCGCACGCGUCGGAAAGGCAGCGGAGAUGCAACCAGAGCGAGACUGAGCAAUGACCUUGGAAACAGAGACUGUCAACACAUCUCACGUCUCACGUCCGAGUUCUGUCACUAGCUCGGAAACUGCUCCUUUAACAAUCCCUCCAAAUCAUGUCCAGACUGUUCACAGGAUCGUAUUUGUGACGAGCUGAGUUGUUUACUAUGAAUUCUUUAAGGUUUAAUUCAGCGGGGGCGAGGUGAGAAAACUCAAUUGUUCAACACGCGCUUCCCUCUGCUUUCUCACAAUAAAAACACACACACACACACACAUGCAGACAUGAACACACACAUACUGUACACACACACACAGCAGAGUGGUGUGUGUGAAAUAUGAAAAGCUUAUUGCAGGGAAACCCAUCUGAUAUCUGUUUGUCAUUACCAUAAU
Molecule: long non-coding RNA, 875 nt
Organism: Hippoglossus stenolepis (Pacific halibut)
Lineage: Eukaryota; Metazoa; Chordata; Actinopteri; Pleuronectiformes; Pleuronectidae
Exons: 3
Source: RefSeq, a predicted model, not a curated record